AAAAAUCUGGAUCACAUCCCCAAAUUUUGGAACUUAUAAACAUGCCAUAGCAGGGAGAGUGGAAACUACAAAAAUACAUCUAUAUCAUCCCAGAAGAUUAUACUUUUUUCCUCCUUGUUUCUCUAUUUGAUUGUUCAAAUUUCUGCUUCCCAAUUUAGCAUAAUUUUUCCUAACAAUGACCAUAUAGUUAAUGAAUUAAAAAUUAAAUAUCCACUCUGUCAUGAGAUGUGACCAUAGAUAUCAGGCAAUUUACAAUGAGAAUACUACAGGAACAGAAUAGCCACAGACAAAAUAAAAGGCACAACAUUUAUAUUUAAGGAUGCACAUUACAUACACAUUUUGGAGCUCCCUCAGAACUUUCGCUAAGGUUGGGAAAUAAUCCACCAAUAAAUUUCAUCUUGUCAUGGACUUUCAUAUUUGUGCUAGGAGGUACAAGAUUCAUCAAAUACCAGCAAUCUACUAAUCCCAACUGAAAAUUUUCCAUCUAUCCUUACGGCUCUGCGUUUGCAAUUAGAUCAAUCAAGCUCUGCAGCUCCAAUGGCAUAGAAGUCCCAAACAUGAGGGGAAGUACAUCCAGUCAAAAUCAUCAACAUAAUGUCAACUUUUACCCUUUGGCAUAUUUAUCCACAUAACCCAUCACAAGUUUUGUUAAUUUCCGUUGUGAUGAGUCAAUGUAUCGAUUUAUCUUUGCCUUAGACUUCGGUAUCUGGUGGCUCUUCAUUGCUUCUGACACUUUAUCAACGGUCUUCUUCACAACAGUCUUAAAAGUUUCCUUGCUCAUGUUACCCUGUCGCCAUGAAGGCUUUAAAACCUCCUUUACAAAAUCUGCAAGGCAAGCCUUGAAAAGCUUCAUUGAUCUGGACUCCUUCUUGCUCUUCCCUGGGGACUUAAUCUGAUCAAUCUCCAUCUCACCCAUAUUUGUGUUUGUUAAAGCAUUGGGAUUACUCUGGCUGCCAUUUUCAACGUCACCAAUUUCUAAAUCUGCUGUCUCACCAAAUUCCUCAUUAACAAUAGAUGUAGCAAGCACAAUGCCACCGACCUCUUUCUUCUUGUUGUUCUCUUCCACAUCCAAAGGUUGGCUUGAGCCUUUUAGCCUCAAAACGAUGUCAGAGUCACCAGAGGGUUCCCACUUCUUAAAAUGAUCUAAUUUCAUAUAUGAGUUUGAAGAUGGCUCAAUGCUGUCAAAGAGUGGAUCAUACUGGUCACCACCUGACCUAGGAAUAAUUUUCCCAACACCACUAGCAGAAGUUGGUGAAGUUGCCUCUUUUGGUCUAACACCCAGUCCAUCAACCGAAGCAUUACUCAAACCUAAAGGAUUAUCAUGCGUGCUACCAUAGGUUGUGCCUUUUUCUUGCCUGAAGACAUCAGAACUGAAUCUGGAGCUGAGUGGCUUCUCAAAAGUAGAUGCAUAAGGAUUAAAGUGAGUUGAAUUUCUUGAUACUCCAAAAUCAAGAGGAUGUGAUGGCUGAUUUCUGUCUUGAAGUUCUGGUGGAUAUCUAGAUGAACAACCAACUUUCCCUGGCAGACUAUAGACACCAUCAGGCACGGAAUGAUGCAAAUUGUAGGGUGCCUGUCGCUGUUGUAAGUAUGGAUCAAUAUCAGAAAAAGACUUCAAAAUCUCUCCUGGAGUUAAAUUGUCACCAGAAAAAGAUUGUUUGGUUGCAGAUCCUUCCUGUAAAAAGGGCAUAGGUUGAGAGUAAUUGUUGCUCCGAAAGGAGGAAUCUGAAACACUUGUAGCUUGCAUUGGAAGCUGUUUUAAACGAUCUUCUCCAAAAAGAACAGAAUCUCCAAAUUGUUGACUGGAUGGAUUGCAUCCAAGUGGAGGCUUCAACCCAAAAUCUUCCAAAUGUGAGAAAGGUUGAUGUGGCUCUUGCAAUGGAGGGUAGGCUCGAUGCUGGAACUCACCAACCUGAGAAUUACUAGACAAUUCAGUUGAGUAGGGUUUCGAGAAUAUUUGGGAACCAAAGCAACUCUGCUGAAAUAGCAAACCAGCAUUUCCAGAUGGACCAUGUGGUGGCAAUAGUGGUGGUGGUGUCGGCAAUGUGGCAGAUGAGGUAUUUAAUGGUAGAGAAAAAAGAGAAUUUUGAUUGGGCAACAUUAUAGAAGGAAAAUUUCCCAAAGGAGCAGUUUGAGAUUGAAAUGCCGCAGUCCGUCGCAUCAAGGUGUAAUCCCUUGAUAGCUGUGUCAUAUGUGGGGCAUUAUUAGCAUCUGAAUUUGGAGCAGAAAAAUGAAAAGUGGGUAUCUGGGAAGGAUUAUGUACAGAAUCUGCAGAAUUUGGAAGAGUUUCCCUACAAUGAAGGUUCUUUGGAGAAGUUCUAGAUGUUUUAUCAGGUGAUGUAUCAGAUAUAGAAGAAUCAUCAGUUCGUUGGGCUUGAUAAUCAGCAUCUUGAAGCACUCGAUCUGACUGAACAGAUUGAGAUUGUUGAAUCACAGAAUCCUUCAAAGAAGAAAUUACAUCCUGAGAAGCUUCAACAUGUGACUUCAGGAUGUUAGAAUCACUUGCUGGUUUAGAGGAAAAAAUAUCAACCACCACCGGUUGGUCAGAUUCCAUUGCUUCCCGAAAUUUUUCAUCCAUACAAUUUUUACCAUCUUCAGAUCUUUCUUCAACUAAGCUAGUUUUUGGCACUUCAGCAACAAAGUCUCUAAUACUAUCGAAUUUUAUUAUUUCGGAAUCAACUAACGCAUCACAAACAGAAUCUUUUCUGUUAUGGAAAAUGGUGUUAUCUUUUGUAGCACAAAUGCUGCUAGCAGAUGUAUCAUGAUUGUUCCGCCCUUCCUGGUUCAUGAUUUCCUGCCCAUGAUCUGAUACCAUUGGUGAGAGUUUCUUGUUACCUUCAUGAGUAUUACAAUUCAUUGAACUGGGAGGAAGUUGCACUUCUUGUUGCUUGCUCUUGUGAUGCCUCGAUCCAUUAAUUUUCUCAAAAUCAUGGUGCAUAUAACGACAGGAUGCACCACGGUAGCACCUGCCUCUGAGAAAGUUAAAACAGUCUGGCAACUGACCCUUUUCCAGUCUCCUAUUGCCACCGCUAAAUUCACCUGCAUGCCUAAAAGAGGGAGACCUGCUCCUACUUCUUCUAUUCCUGGGAGACCAUCCACGAGAUCUACUUCUCUUUUCUCUUCUUCUCCGAGGAUGAUUCCUCCUCCUCCUAUCUAGAGGUGACCGGCUCCGGCUUCUCCCUCUUUUAUUACGCCUAUAAGCAUGGUGUGAAUCUUCGGAGUCACUGUCACUGACACCUUCUCUAACCAAUCUUCCAAACUUAUCUAUUUUCUGGGCAUUUGAAGUAAAUUUUGCAUUUUUAUCUUCGCCUUCCAAUUUUGCAUUUUUAUCUUUGCUGUCCUCAUAUUUACCACUAGAAGCAACAUUUGCCCCCGCACCUCCCGAAGCAUCUUCUUUUGGGAGAGCCUCGUGACAAGUGGCAUGGUCAAUAGAUGAUUGGUUCUCAAGCUUAAUAUCAAUAAGUUUGGUGCUUGGCCCAGUUGCAAUGGAUAUUGGGACAGUCUCCUUAACUCCUCUUUGUGAAUACGAGGAAGAUUCCAGAGCUUUAUACAACAUGCCAGAUUCAGAUAGCAUCCCAAACCCCCUUUCACUAACUGCAACUAAUGAUGAAACUGUUUCAGGAUUGGCAUCUUUGAAAUGUGAAUCCUCAUCAUUUUCUGAGCUGUCAUUAGAAGCAUAGUCUUGCAGGAGUCUGAAUGGGCUACUGCCUUUCAUAACUUGACCCGAAUAGCUGUCAGAAUUCAUGCAUUCAGCAGCUGCUGCAACCUUAGAUGAACUAUUAUCACCAGCUAAGACUGUAGAAGAUUCCACUCUGUUGCUGGCAAAGGGAUAUUCAGUAGCCCCAGUUGGAUUAAUGACUGGGCUUUCAACCCUGAAAACUGACCUCCCAAAUGUCAAGUCAUCAUGACUGGAGACUAGCUUUGACCCUUCUUCACCCAGUUUUUCAGAUAAAACCAUCGUGCCAGCACCAGAUCCGGCUGAACUCAAUAGUUUGUGCAGCUGCUUUUUUGCAUCAAACUCGCUGCUUAUCGGAACAAUAGCUUGAGUUGGAUUUUCAAUAGGCUGAUUCACUGCCUGGUCAACAUCAGACCUGGUGAUAUCAUCUUCCAUCUCCAUAUCAGAAUCAGCAGGUGAAUGGAUUUCAGUUGUGAGCAUCAAAUGAUUGGUCGACAUUUCAGGCUGGAUUCCAUCUGAUUUACUUGCCAAAAGACACUGCUUCUUCAUCCACAAAAAAUACUCAUGUGCAAUUGCAGCUUCACUACUUGGCUCGCCACCAAACAAAAACUUGAACUCCGGAUUCUCAGAUCCCUUUAGACGAGCAAUAUCUUCAUAAGAAGAACCAUUCUUAGCAAUUAGUUGGCAAAACUCUUCGAUCUUCUGAACAAUUUUUUCUUCUGCUGGCUUAGGUGGACAAGGAACAUCGGAUGCCACAAUUCCAUUCAAUGACAAACCAUCUCCCCCAGGAUAAUUCAACUCAUUUCCACUUUGACCUUCCAAAAAUAGACUUCCAUCAUCCACAGAAAAUUUCUGUACAGAUAUACUAUGCUCAGCCCGAUUGAGAGGUCUGACUUCAGUAACAGGACCAAGAGUGCCUAAUUGUGGAUUAGAGCCACAAGGCAUGUUGAAUCCAGCAGGAAGAGGCAAAGAUACUGACGCUGAGGAAAAGACAGGGGGUGGUGAAGAUGGUGGAAUUGGCGGUGGAGAAGAAGAUGGCAGUGGUGGAGGAGGUGACGUUGAUGGGGGAACCAUGGAAGACAUUUGAGAGUUUCCAACAGUUGCCUCUAAAAUAUUCCCAGAUAGGGAAGAAGUUGAAAAAGUAGGAGGGGGAGGUGGGGGUGGUGGAAUUUGCUGUAGACCUUGCAUGCCACCAGGCUGCUGAGGCAACUGAUGAAUUGGAGCUCUAUAUAACGUCUGGCCUUGUGAAGGUGUAGGAGGUAAACUUCUAGGAGGUAAUGUGACCUGUAACAUUUCCAGAUUAUGUGAACCAGCAGCAGCAGCAGGAGGAGGAGGAGGGAGUCCAGGCGCUAAAUAAGAAGAAUGCUGCGAUCCUUGCGGAUUUGGUGGUGCAGUUGUGUAUACAUGUGGCAACCGGGCACUUCCAUGAACUGCAGGCGGUGGAGGAAAAUAAGGCUGACCCGUGUUAGGCAACCCAGGUUGAACCUGCCGAACUGCAAGAUGUGGGGCCAGAGGACCUUGCUGAUAUAUAGGCAGGCCAGGCUGACCAGGGCGAGGUAGAACUUGAGGUAAAGGCAGCAGUGGACCUUGUUGGAAAUUCUGAGGUAAAGGAAGCAGAGCCGGUGGAUGCUGUAAAAAUGGAGGUGGCCUAGGUGUCUGAGGACCUUGUCCGGAUUGCAGAUUAUAACUCCCUUGACUAAACAUCUCAAAUUCCACAACUUUAUUAGUACCAACAAAACUUUCCCACUCCCAGUGUAAUCUACACUUGGGCUUCUACAAAUGGCCAAUGGAAAUCAACGUAGAGCUCAAGUAUUGUAUCGAGGCCAUAAAUUGGACAAAAAUCAAAAUACAAAACAAACCCUUGUCGCUGAGAAUUGAAAAAAUUGAAGCAUGGAUUCUAGGGUUUCGAUGGGAUUGGGUGAGAUUGAGGUGAUGCCUUUUUUUUUUAUUGCCCUAAUAAGGAAGUUGUUGCUCUCUUGCUUGUGUGUGUGUGUAUGGUACAUGUUGAUUCGGUUCUGUUUAACUCGGC
Molecule: unclassified non-coding RNA, 5702 nt
Filed under: Hevea brasiliensis (rubber tree)
Lineage: Eukaryota; Viridiplantae; Streptophyta; Magnoliopsida; Malpighiales; Euphorbiaceae
Source: RNAcentral